GGAUGUCAGAUGAGACCGCAUACAAGACCAGCRGACUGCUCAGUGCCAAACUAAAGGAGUCCUCUUACUAACCAAUUGGAUAGAAGAUUAAUUUAUCCRUUCAACACCACUUCCUAACCAUUUAACCUGAACUCCUGGAGUACCUGACAUCCAGCAUCCCAUUCCUGUUACGUGUAUAUUAUCYACCCCUUCUCAUCCGACUGGGAGGCCUUUCAGAAAAAUGGGACCUCAGUUUGCCACUGCCCUGUGAAUGCUCACUGCACUUCUUGAGCCUCAGAGAGGAGGAUAGAGAGAGCACCCUAUCUCCACUGAUUACAUUCUUCUCAUCGAAUUCAGCCAAAAUGGCUUAAGCACCGAACAUGCGUGUUAGCAGAGGAGCUCAGAGAAGGAGGGAUCGAGGAUUAUUUAAGGAUCAUUGUUGAAGCUGGAUGAGGAUCCAUGGAAGUUUAUCAGAUAAUUUGGUCUACUUCUAUAAAUACUGGAAAAUGCCCCGACUAAGAAGAAUAUGAAGAAAUAGAAGGAAACUGAGCAGGCUUCACAUAGCAAGUAGCAGCUGCGCAAAACCAAAGCCCGGGUUUUCAAUAAUGGUCCAGGAUUAAAAGCUGCAAGCCAAUUCCCAUGGCCCCUGGUUGCAGAAGCUAUGCAGGGCAAGGUCAGGCAGAGGAGCAACUUAGUGCCUGGGCUUGGGCCCUGGCCCCACACCUCCAUCAAAUUCUUAUUUAAUGGGACCACAAGAACACAUUGACCUCCUCUUGCCUGGGCAAUAGGCUGAAAGCAGAACCAAUCCUUCUUGAUUCCCCCUAUUCUAGGCCUUCCCAGGGAUGCUCAUCUUCCAAUACAGCCUGCUCCUAAGCAUCAGGGUAAGAAACCCCAGGAGAAGGAGGAAAAGGAUGACAUCAAAGCUAUCAUCUCUGCAAAACCUCACUCCUCAAUUCAGGGGACUGAGGGAGUGUGGGUGUGGGCAUGCACAUGGACAUGAAGGAAGAGAAAAGAAAAAGAGCCAACCUGCCUUCCCUCCGGAAUCCUGGCAUCGCCUCCCUUCUUAUUCCUUCUCUUAUUAAUCCUAUAGGCUUAACGGGAAAGCUCAUAUCUAAUUCAUGCCCCUUCUGCCUCCACUUUGCCUCCUUCACAUCUUGGAGGGUUUUUGAAAAUUCCUUUGUGUAGCUUCAGCAAACUUUGACACUACCACCAAUGAGAAGGCCGUUCAGUCCCUCCAGGUCUUUGAUGAAUGUCUCUUUGCUUUGCCUGCAGAAGUCACUAAAAUAGAUAAGAACAGCACAGUACUCCAGGUCGACAGUGGACACUAGGUGGAGAAGUCCCUCACCUCAUUUAUCAGAGCAAAUGAGCAAAGAAGAGAGAUACUGUCAUCCAGAGCCUAUUAACAACUCCGAUGAGCCACAGGUAUCCGGACCCAAGUGGAGGAGUAAAAGUCACUCAAACAGCUCUUGCACUUCUUUCUCUCCUCGGGGCCUUUCUCCAUCGCUGCCUCCUUGGGAGCACUUGCCCAGAUCUGUCGUCACCAUCCUCAUUUGAGUCUCUUCGGAACUACUAUUUAAAUCAAAACUUCUCAUUUUGAGGUCAUUUUCAUAGAUUUAUAUGUGGUUGCAAGAAAUAAUACAAAGAGAUCCCUUGUAGCCUUUACCAAAUUUCUCCCGAUGUUAACAUCUUACAAAACUGUAAAYAAUAUAUUGUCAAUAAUGUAAUCAGGAUGAGAAGAUCUCCAUCACCAGGAGCCUCCAGUGGGACCCCCUUGUGGCCACAACCACUUAUCUCCUGUCCCUUACCCUCCUUUAUCCUGGCAACCACUAUUCUGCACUUCCUAUAAUUUUAACGAUUCAAAAAUAUAAGUGGAAUUAUAUCAGAAAAAAAUUGGGGAAUUGGCUUUUUCCCAUCAGGAUAAAGUUUCAUCUAGGAUAUGUAUCAAUAGGUGGUUCCUUUUUAUUGCUGAGUACUAUUUCAUGAAUGAAAGUACCACAGUUUAUUCACCCCUUGAAGACACCUGAGUUGUUUUCAGUUUUGGGCUACUGUGAAUUUCCUGACACCAUAUGAGGCUGCUAUGAACAUUCAUGUUCUCUGGAAUAAAUGCUCAGGGGUACAUGCUUGCAUGUAAGAACCCUGGAGCCUCAGUGAACUGCACUUGUUCCUUUCUAAAAUGCUCUGGAAACUCUCUGGGCUUUCCUGCUACCUCAUUUUGCUUUUGUCAUUUUUAUACCUGGAAUAUCCCAUAAUUUCAUUUUUUUUUUCUUUCCAUCCAAGAACCACUCAAAUACUGCAACCUAUCUUUUCUACUUCUCCUUGAACUCUCCUGACCUCUAUUAUCUGUAGCACUUCUGUGGUAUGGGCUGCAUACUGUGUGUGUGUAGAAGUUAUUUAUUAACAGAAAUUUAGCUACACAACUAGGGUAUGAGCUCCUUGAUGAAUAAAGCCCAGGAUGAUUCUUCUCGGCCUCCUCAAUAGACCCUGGUGCAGGAAAUGAUACACAAUAUGUGCAUAAAAAAAAAACAUGUAAAGAAUUAAUUCACAUGAUUCCUACAUGAUAGUCCAUCCAAAAAAGUCUCUUUGACUUCCCAUCUUUAGGUAUUUCAGGAGCCAUUUUUCAGGACUUUCCAUUUGAAGUCAAAUUCUGCGAGUGGAAUUUGACUUAGCAUCUAAAGAGAUCUGGAUCCUUGAGUAGUUGAAGGGAAACACUACUCUCAGCACUAAGCCAGAUCUCAAGGGAAAGUCUUUCUUUGGCUUUCAAAGUCAUGAAGAUUGUCUCAGAAAACUACGGAUUAAUUAUGCAGAGAUGGGACACAGCCAGAGAAACAAAAAUCCACUGAUUUACAGAAAUAACACCUUUUCUCACCAUCUAAAUUAGUAGUUCAGAGUCUCCUAAAUGGAGAUAUAUUAAGGAAGCAGAAUGCAAAUGUGAUCUCUAUCUAUUCUCAGCUCAGCAGGCAUCGGUAUCUAACAACAUCAUUAAGGUUGUCUUUGCAUAGACAGGUCCAGGCAGGGAAUGGCUACUCUCCAGGGACUCUUUCCACCAUCAUAGAACAGGAAAAAGUAAAGUGGCAAGCAAAGGGAGCAGAGGUGAAGACAAGAAAUAGUGAGGAGGAAGGGGCAGGCUUUCCAUUCUGACCGUCAAGAGCCACUUCCUGGUGAUUCCAAUGUCCUCUCUUUAGCUGAUUCUCUUUUCUUCCUACCAUUACUGCUUCUGUAUUCUUUUAUAUGGUUUUCCAGCCUGCUUGCUUCCCUGAAUCAACUCACCUUAAACACACACACCAAAGUGA
Molecule: long non-coding RNA, 3269 nt
Organism: Urocitellus parryii (Arctic ground squirrel)
Lineage: Eukaryota; Metazoa; Chordata; Mammalia; Rodentia; Sciuridae
Source: RefSeq, a predicted model, not a curated record